AUUGAACGCUGGCGGAAUGCUUUACACAUGCAAGUCGAACGGCAGCACGGGGCAACCUGGUGGCGAGUGGCGAACGGGUGAGUAAUACAUCGGAACGUGCCCAAUCGUGGGGGAUAACGUAGCGAAAGUUACGCUAAUACCGCAUACGAUCUACGGAUGAAAGCGGGGGAUCGCAAGACCUCGCGCGAAUGGAGCGGCCGAUGUCAGAUUAGGUAGUUGGUGGGGUAAAGGCUCACCAAGCCAACGAUCUGUAGCUGGUCUGAGAGGACGACCAGCCACACUGGAACUGAGACACGGUCCAGACUCCUACGGGAGGCAGCAGUGGGGAAUUUUGGACAAUGGGCGCAAGCCUGAUCCAGCCAUUCCGCGUGCAGGAUGAAGGCCUUCGGGUUGUAAACUGCUUUGUACGGUACGAAACGGUCUGCCCUAAUACGUGGGCUAAUGACGGUACCGUAAGAAUAAGACACCGGCUAACUACGUGCCAGCAGCCGCGGUAAUACGU
This 502-nucleotide ribosomal RNA is filed under the name uncultured bacterium. RNAcentral's name for it is "bacterial SSU rRNA". It matches the Rfam family "Bacterial small subunit ribosomal RNA", at positions 30 to 528 of the family's 1533-position model. The record is from RNAcentral.